GCCGGGUAGCUAUGUACGGAAGGGAUAACCGCUGAAAGCAUCUAAGCGGGAAGCCCACCCCAAGAUUAGGUUUCCCGGAUCUUCGGAUCCCUGAAGGGCCCUUGAAGACUACAAGGUUGAUAGGCUGGGUGUGGAAGCGCGGCAACGCGUGAAGCUAACCAGUACUAAUUGCCCGUGCGGCUUAAACCG
RNAcentral lists this ribosomal RNA (189 nucleotides) under Gammaproteobacteria bacterium. RNAcentral's name for it is "partial 23S ribosomal RNA". It matches the Rfam family "Bacterial large subunit ribosomal RNA", at positions 2740 to 2925 of the family's 2925-position model. The record is from RNAcentral. Lineage: Bacteria; Pseudomonadati; Pseudomonadota; Gammaproteobacteria.